ACUUGAGUGACUUUGUAGGGUGGGAAACCAGGAUGACAUACUUGCUAUUGUGUGUACUACCGGAGGCAUGUAAUAAACGAUAAUAUCUGAAAUUACAAUAUGUGGUCAAUAACUAUUGAAUACAGAUGGCACUGUGACAUCAGGAAUAAUAUAAAAUAUCUUCAUAUUUGAGAUUGUGAAGAAAAAUUACCAUUUGGAGUCAGAAAAUCUGGAUUUUAGCUGUGUGGCUCGGAAAAGUGCCUUAUUUCUCAGCUGGAGAGGGUCUCCACAGCAGAACACUGCGGCUGGAGGUGAGGAAGGAGUGGCGUAA
RNAcentral lists this long non-coding RNA (310 nucleotides) under Callithrix jacchus (white-tufted-ear marmoset). RNAcentral's name for it is "lncRNA (ENSCJAG00000076161.1)". Lineage: Eukaryota; Metazoa; Chordata; Mammalia; Primates; Cebidae. The record is from RNAcentral.